Non-coding RNA from Salmo salar (Atlantic salmon), 58 nucleotides. The record is from Rfam. NCBI's taxonomy places the organism in Eukaryota, Metazoa, Chordata, Actinopteri, Salmoniformes, Salmonidae.
UAGCUCAGUUGGUAGAGCAUGGUGUUUGGAACACCAGGGUUGUGGGUUCAAUUCCCAC